Oryza glumipatula is the source of this 197-nucleotide non-coding RNA. Lineage: Eukaryota; Viridiplantae; Streptophyta; Magnoliopsida; Poales; Poaceae. The record is from Rfam.
AAUAAGUUCAUUUAUAUGUUUAUGUGUGCAAUGUUUGAUCGUCCGUCUUAUUUACUCUUUUUAUGAAUUACUAGUAUUUUUAUUGUUAUUAGAUGAUAAGAUAUAAAUAGUACUUUAUGCAUGACUUGUUUUUUAAAAAUUUUCAGAUAAGACGGACGGUCAAAAGCUAGAUAGAGAAACCCACCAAUAAACUUAUU